CCACGGGAGGCAGCAGUCGGGAAUUUUGGGCAAUGGGCGAAAGCCUGACCCAGCAACGCCGCGUGAAGGAUGAAAUCCCUCGGGAUGUAAACUUCGCAAGAACGGGAAGAAUAAGUGAGAGUUAAUAUCUCUUACGAUGACGGUACUGUUUGUAAGCUCCGGCUAACUCCGUGCCAGCAGCCGCGGUAAU
RNAcentral lists this ribosomal RNA (190 nucleotides) under uncultured bacterium. RNAcentral describes it as "partial 16S ribosomal RNA". It matches the Rfam family "Bacterial small subunit ribosomal RNA", at positions 339 to 524 of the family's 1533-position model. The record is from RNAcentral.